This 465-nucleotide ribosomal RNA is filed under the name Vreelandella stevensii. RNAcentral describes it as "partial 16S ribosomal RNA". It matches the Rfam family "Bacterial small subunit ribosomal RNA", at positions 338 to 795 of the family's 1533-position model. Lineage: Bacteria; Pseudomonadati; Pseudomonadota; Gammaproteobacteria; Oceanospirillales; Halomonadaceae. The record is from RNAcentral.
CCUACGGGAGGCUGCAGUGGGGAAUAUUGGACAAUGGGCGAAAGCCUGAUCCAGCCAUGCCGCGUGUGUGAAGAAGGCCUUCGGGUUGUAAAGCACUUUCAGUGGGGAAGAAAGCCUUGGGGCUAAUACCCUCGAGGAAGGACAUCACCCACAGAAUAAGCACCGGCUAACUCCGUGCCAGCAGCCGCGGUAAUACGGAGGGUGCGAGCGUUAAUCGGAAUUACUGGGCGUAAAGCGCGCGUAGGCGGUCUGAUAAGCCGGUUGUGAAAGCCCCGGGCUCAACCUGGGAACGGCAUCCGGAACUGUCAGGCUAGAGUGCAGGAGAGGAAGGUAGAAUUCCCGGUGUAGCGGUGAAAUGCGUAGAGAUCGGGAGGAAUACCAGUGGCGAAGGCGGCCUUCUGGACUGACACUGACGCUGAGGUGCGAAAGCGUGGGUAGCAAACAGGAUUAGAUACCCUGGUAGUC